GACGAACGCUGGCGGCGUGCUUAACACAUGCAAGUCGAACGGAAAGGCCCUGCUUUUGUGGGGUGCUCGAGUGGCGAACGGGUGAGUAACACGUGAGUAACCUGCCCUUGACUUUGGGAUAACUUCAGGAAACUGGGGCUAAUACCGGAUAGGAGCUCCUGCUGCAUGGUGGGGGUUGGAAAGUUUCGGCGGUUGGGGAUGGACUCGCGGCUUAUCAGCUUGUUGGUGGGGUAGUGGCUUACCAAGGCUUUGACGGGUAGCCGGCCUGAGAGGGUGACCGGCAACAUUGGGAAUGAGAAACGGCCCAGACUCCAACGGGAGGCAGCGGGGGGGAAUAUUGCACAAGGGGCGGAAGCCGGAUGCAGCAACGCCGGGUGCGGAAUGAGGGCCUUCGGGUUGGAAACAGCUUUCGCCUGUGACGAAGGGGGGGGGAGGGUAAUGGGUAAAGAAGCACCGGCUAACUACGG
Molecule: ribosomal RNA, 467 nt
Filed under: uncultured bacterium
Lineage: Bacteria
Description: partial 16S ribosomal RNA
Rfam family: Bacterial small subunit ribosomal RNA
Source: RNAcentral